CUACGUGCCAGCAGCCGCGGUAAUACGUAGGGUGCGAGCGUUAAUCGGAAUUACUGGGCGUAAAGCGAGCGCAGACGGUUACUUAAGCAGGAUGUGAAAUCCCCGGGCUCAACCUGGGAACUGCGUUCUGAACUGGGUGACUAGAGUGUGUCAGAGGGAGGUAGAAUUCCACGUGUAGCAGUGAAAUGCGUAGAGAUGUGGAGGAAUACCGAUGGCGAAGGCAGCCUCCUGGGAUAACACUGACGUUCAUGCUCGAAAGCGUGGGUAGCAAACAGGAUUAGAUACCCUGGUAGUCCACGCCCUAAACGAUGUCUACUAGUUGUCGGGGAUUAAUUUCCUUGGUAACGCAGCUAACGCGUGAAGUAGACCGCCUGGGGAGUACGGUCGCAAGAUUAAAACUCAAAGGAAUUGACGGGGACCCGCACAAGCGGUGGAUGAUGUGGAUUAAUUCGAUGCAACGCGAAAAACCUUACCUACGCUUGACAU
RNAcentral lists this ribosomal RNA (486 nucleotides) under uncultured bacterium. RNAcentral's name for it is "bacterial SSU rRNA". It matches the Rfam family "Bacterial small subunit ribosomal RNA", at positions 501 to 987 of the family's 1533-position model. The record is from RNAcentral.